UACGAGGGGGGCAAGCGUUGUUCGGAAUUAUUGGGCGUAAAGGGCGCGUAGGCGGUGCGGUAAGUCACCUGUGAAACCUCUAGGCUUAACCUAGGGCCUGCAGGCGAAACUGCCGUGCUUGAGGGUGGGAGAGGUGCGUGGAAUUCCCGGUGUAGUGGUGGAAUGCGUAGAUAUCGGGAGGAACACCAGUGGCGAAGGCGGUUGCCUGGAGCUUUGCUGACGCUGAUGCGCGAAAGCGUGGGGAGCGAUCCGG
This 253-nucleotide ribosomal RNA is filed under the name uncultured bacterium. Its description in RNAcentral is "partial 16S ribosomal RNA". It matches the Rfam family "Bacterial small subunit ribosomal RNA", at positions 524 to 776 of the family's 1533-position model. The record is from RNAcentral.